AAACCCGGUGAUCUAGCCAUGGGCAGGUUGAAGGUUGGGUAACACUAACUGGAGGACCGAACCGACUAAUGUUGAAAAAUUAGCGGAUGACUUGUGGCUGGGGGUGAAAGGCCAAUCAAACCGGGAGAUAGCUGGUUCUCCCCGAAAGCUAUUUAGGUAGCGCCUCGUGAACUCAUCUUCGGGGGUAGAGCACUGUUUCGGCUAGGGGGCCAUCCCGGCUUACCAAACCGAUGCAAACUCCGAAUACCGAAGAAUGUUAUCACGGGAGACACACGGCGGGUGCUAACGUCCGUCGUGAAGAGGGAAACAACCCAGACCGCCAGCUAAGGUCCCAAAGUCAUGGUUAAGUGGGAAACGAUGUGGGAAGGCACAGACAGCCAGGAUGUUGGCUUAGAAGCAGCCAUCAUUUAAAGAAAGCGUAAUAGCUCACUGGUCGAGUCGGCCUGCGCGGAAGAUGUAACGGGGCUAAACCAUGCACCGAAGCUGCGGCAGCGACGCUUAGGCGUUGUUGGGUAGGGGAGCGUUCUGUAAGCCGUUGAAGGUGGCCUGUGAGGGUUGCUGGAGGUAUCAGAAGUGCGAAUGCUGACAUAAGUAACGAUAAAGCGGGUGAAAAGCCCGCUCGCCGGAAGACCAAGGGUUCCUGUCCAACGUUAAUCGGGGCAGGGUGAGUCGACCCCUAAGGCGAGGCUGAAAAGCGUAGUCGAUGGGAAACAGGUUAAUAUUCCUGUACUUGGUGUUACUGCGAAGGGGGGACGGAGAAGGCUAGGCUGGCCGGGCGACGGUUGUCCCGGUU
This 793-nucleotide ribosomal RNA is filed under the name Serratia marcescens. RNAcentral describes it as "partial 23S ribosomal RNA". It matches the Rfam family "Bacterial large subunit ribosomal RNA", at positions 718 to 1512 of the family's 2925-position model. Lineage: Bacteria; Pseudomonadati; Pseudomonadota; Gammaproteobacteria; Enterobacterales; Yersiniaceae. The record is from RNAcentral.